GGUCUUGACACCUUUCGGCCGCCGUAGGCGGAGAUUGAGGCGGGUGGCUCCCGGUCGUUUACCUGGGUACACCAAGGCCCGCGUGGUCGUGGGCCUGAGGAGCCGAGCGGGCAUAGGCCUGGUCAUUCGUUCGUCCAUUCAGUCAUUCAUUCCUUGAGGAGUGUUGACGGAGCUUCAGACGUGAAUGAAAUUUGUAUCCAUCUGUCUUGUUCCUGGAACCAAACUAGUUGGGGAUAGAAGAAAGUGGAUUUCCUAAUCCACUUCCAAGAAGCAUCUCUUCUUAAGACUUUCUAAUCGGAAGAAAGUUCAGUUCACAAUCAGCUUGCAUGAGUAAUAAUCCGUUGUUUUGCUACCACCCCUCUGAGACUGGAUCCAGGGCACACCGGACUUCCUCUUCCGAAUCGCUGGAAAACACAGCUUCUGCCCCAGCUGGGUCAACGUGCAUGCAGCUUGGGACAAUCAAGUCAAAUCAUCAAAAAUGAAAGAAAACUCUUCAAAAAACCAUUUAAAUAUGGCAGGACAAAAUUAUUGAUGUGAAAAGGAAGUCUUC
Molecule: long non-coding RNA, 550 nt
Filed under: Zalophus californianus (California sea lion)
Lineage: Eukaryota; Metazoa; Chordata; Mammalia; Carnivora; Otariidae
Description: lncRNA (ENSZCAG00015019388.1)
Source: RNAcentral